GCUCACGUAGCUCAGUCGGCAGAGCGCGUCCUUGGUAAGGACGAGGUCACCGGUUCAAUCCCGGUCGUGAGCUCCA
RNAcentral lists this transfer RNA (76 nucleotides) under Bacillota bacterium. Its description in RNAcentral is "tRNA-Thr". It matches the Rfam family "tRNA". Rfam says of the family: Transfer RNA (tRNA) molecules are approximately 80 nucleotides in length. Their secondary structure includes four short double-helical elements and three loops (D, anti-codon, and T loops). The record is from RNAcentral. Lineage: Bacteria; Bacillati; Bacillota.